UCCGGCUCAGGGAAGCGCUGGCGGCGNGUCUAAUACAUGCAAGAUCGAGCGAAUCAUCAGGAGCUUGCUCCUGAUGAUUAGCGGUGGACCGGUGAGUAACACGUGGGCAACCUGCCUGUAAGACUGGGAUAACACCGGGAAACCGGUGCUAAUACCGGAUAACUCUUUACCUCUCAUGAGGUGAAGCUGAAAGUCGGUUUCGGCUGACACUUACAGAUGGGCCCGCGGCGCAUUAGCUAGUUGGUGAGGUAACGGCUCACCAAGGCGACGAUGCGUAGCCGACCUGAGAGGGUGAUCGGCCACACUGGGACUGAGACACGGCCCAGACUCCUACGGGAGGCAGCAGUGGG
RNAcentral lists this ribosomal RNA (350 nucleotides) under uncultured Bacillus sp. Its description in RNAcentral is "bacterial SSU rRNA". It matches the Rfam family "Bacterial small subunit ribosomal RNA", at positions 18 to 358 of the family's 1533-position model. The record is from RNAcentral. Lineage: Bacteria; Bacillati; Bacillota; Bacilli; Caryophanales; Bacillaceae.